GAAUGUUCAUGUUGCGAACAUGACUGGGUGCCCUGCAUGCCCAAGAACCUGCACGAGGCUACCAACUAAGCUAUCACGGUUGAGGCUUUUUAGGCUGCCUGUAUUUGAGGUGACCGUCAACUUGAGAAGAAGAAG
Long non-coding RNA from Maniola jurtina (meadow brown), 135 nucleotides. RefSeq lists it as uncharacterized. The transcript has 3 exons. The record is from RefSeq and is a predicted model, not a curated record. Lineage: Eukaryota; Metazoa; Arthropoda; Insecta; Lepidoptera; Nymphalidae.